This 370-nucleotide small RNA is filed under the name Histoplasma capsulatum. RNAcentral describes it as "hypothetical RNA". The record is from RNAcentral. Lineage: Eukaryota; Fungi; Ascomycota; Eurotiomycetes; Onygenales; Ajellomycetaceae. RNAcentral also lists the same sequence under 1 other name.
UCCACACCUUCUCAUGAUUCCAUCUCAUAAUCACAUAUAUCUUAAUGCUCUAAUAAUUCUUUCACUCCACACUUCUUCAGAAUGCAAUCUCUGAUAUUUCUUUUACUCUGAUUCUCUUAUCUAUAAGAAUCUUCUUAUACAAUCUCUUCUUCUAAUCUUCUUUCUCUUUCUUUUCUUAAUUAAUUUAUAAACUGUUAUCAGAAUAGUGUCAAGUUUAUUGAUAGUGCUGUUGAAAUAGAUUAUAUAAACUGUAUGUAUAUAUAUAUGUAUAGAUUUAAUGUUCUGGAGAAGCACAGGCAGCAUCUGUGCUUCAGAGACUUUUCAAAGAGUAUGAAGAUGUGCUAUACUGAAGAGAUUUCUAUAUAUACAG